This 526-nucleotide ribosomal RNA is filed under the name Salmonella enterica subsp. enterica serovar Enteritidis. RNAcentral's name for it is "partial 23S ribosomal RNA". It matches the Rfam family "Bacterial large subunit ribosomal RNA", at positions 727 to 1251 of the family's 2925-position model. Lineage: Bacteria; Pseudomonadati; Pseudomonadota; Gammaproteobacteria; Enterobacterales; Enterobacteriaceae. The record is from RNAcentral.
GAUCUAGCCAUGGGCAGGUUGAAGGUUGGGUAACACUAACUGGAGGACCGAACCGACUAAUGUUGAAAAAUUAGCGGAUGACCUGUGGCUGGGGGUGAAAGGCCAAUCAAACCGGGAGAUAGCUGGUUCUCCCCGAAAGCUAUUUAGGUAGCGCCUCGUGAAUUCAUCUCCGGGGGUAGAGCACUGUUUCGGCUAGGGGGCCAUCCCGGCUUACCAACCCGAUGCAAACUGCGAAUACCGGAGAAUGUUAUCACGGGAGACACACGGCGGGUGCUAACGUCCGUCGUGAAGAGGGAAACAACCCAGACCGCCAGCUAAGGUCCCAAAGUCAUGGUUAAGUGGGAAACGAUGUGGGAAGGCCCAGACAGCCAGGAUGUUGGCUUAGAAGCAGCCAUCAUUUAAAGAAAGCGUAAUAGCUCACUGGUCGAGUCGGCCUGCGCGGAAGAUGUAACGGGGCUAAACCAUGCACCGAAGCUGCGGCAGCGACACUGUGUGUUGUUGGGUAGGGGAGCGUUCUGUAAGCCUG